ACUACACUUUGUAUUGGGGGAUAACCCGAAGAUGGAUACUCCAUACGAUCACAACACCAGUUGAGUUGCAAAAAGGAUAUGUGCCCCGGGGUAUAGAUGAGAGAGAAUUAGUAUCAGCAAUAAAUGAUGUUCAAACCAUUGCAAAUCGUGGCAUGGAAUUGGCUUGAGUAGGUACAUAUCCCGAAGCACAGGAUCAUGUAUCAAUAUAUCAGUCAAUAAUGCGGAGGCUUCACCAAGCCUUACACCGAACUCACGAAGAUCUUCAUGAUGGACGAGAGGUAACGCAAUUCGUAUACACACGUCAACCAUGACAAAAUCAAGGACGAUGCAGAAACGACAAUGAAGCUGAACCUUCCCAACGUGUUGACGAUGGAGCUGGACCGUCACAACGACAAACGCAACCGGAUCACGAACUCGUCGAAGAUCGGGGUGGAGGAGGACGAAGACAAAGGAGGAGGAUGAGAGUUCUUGGAUGUAUGUAAACUAAUCAUUAUUGUUAUAUACAUUACUAACAUAUUUUGGUA
This is a long non-coding RNA of Asparagus officinalis (garden asparagus), 524 nucleotides long. RefSeq lists it as uncharacterized. The transcript is spliced from 3 exons. Lineage: Eukaryota; Viridiplantae; Streptophyta; Magnoliopsida; Asparagales; Asparagaceae. The record is from RefSeq and is a predicted model, not a curated record.